RNAcentral lists this ribosomal RNA (1415 nucleotides) under Microbacterium aurantiacum. Its description in RNAcentral is "bacterial SSU rRNA". The record is from RNAcentral. Lineage: Bacteria; Bacillati; Actinomycetota; Actinomycetes; Micrococcales; Microbacteriaceae.
GGCGGCUGCUACACAUGCAGUCGACGGUGAAGCCAAGCUUGCUUGGUGGAUCAGUGGCGAACGGGUGAGUAACACGUGAGCAACCUGCCCUGAACUCUGGGAUAAGCGCUGGAAACGGCGUCUAAUACUGGAUAUGAGCUGCGGAGGCAUCUUCGUGGUUGGAAAGAUUUUUCGGUUUGGGAUGGGCUCGCGGCCUAUCAGCUUGUUGGUGAGGUAAUGGCUCACCAAGGCGUCGACGGGUAGCCGGCCUGAGAGGGUGACCGGCCACACUGGGACUGAGACACGGCCCAGACUCCUACGGGAGGCAGCAGUGGGGAAUAUUGCACAAUGGGCGGAAGCCUGAUGCAGCAACGCCGCGUGAGGGAUGACGGCCUUCGGGUUGUAAACCUCUUUUAGCAGGGAAGAAGCGAAAGUGACGGUACCUGCAGAAAAAGCGCCGGCUAACUACGUGCCAGCAGCCGCGGUAAUACGUAGGGCGCAAGCGUUAUCCGGAAUUAUUGGGCGUAAAGAGCURUARGCGGUWUGUHRCGUCUGCUGUGAAAUCUGGGKGYUCAACCCCCAGCCUGCAGUGGGUACGGGCAGACUAGAGUGCGGUAGGGGAGAUUGGAAUUCCUGGUGUAGCGGUGGAAUGCGCAGAUAUCAGGAGGAMCACCGAUGGCGAAGGCAGAUCUCUGGGCCGUAACUGACGCUGAGGAGCGAAAGGGUGGGGAGCAAACAGGCUUAGAUACCCUGGUAGUCCACCCCGUAAACGUUGGGAACUAGUUGUGGGGUCCAUUCCACGGAUUCCGUGACGCAGCUAACGCAUUAAGUUCCCCGCCUGGGGAGUACGGCCGCAAGGCUAAAACUCAAAGGAAUUGACGGGGACCCGCACAAGCGGCGGAGCAUGCGGAUUAAUUCGAUGCAACGCGAAGAACCUUACCAAGGCUUGACAUACACGAGAACGCUGCAGAAAUGUAGAACUCUUUGGACACUCGUGAACAGGUGGUGCAUGGUUGUCGUCAGCUCGUGUCGUGAGAUGUUGGGUUAAGUCCCGCAACGAGCGCAACCCUCGUUCUAUGUUGCCAGCACGUAAUGGUGGGAACUCAUGGGAUACUGCCGGGGUCAACUCGGAGGAAGGUGGGGAUGACGUCAAAUCAUCAUGCCCCUUAUGUCUUGGGCUUCACGCAUGCUACAAUGGCCGGUACAAAGGGCUGCAAUACCGCGAGGUGGAGCGAAUCCCAAAAAGCCGGUCCCAGUUCGGAUUGAGGUCUGCAACUCGACCUCAUGAAGUCGGAGUCGCUAGUAAUCGCAGAUCAGCAACGCUGCGGUGAAUACGUUCCCGGGUCUUGUACACACCGCCCGUCAAGUCAUGAAAGUCGGCUAACACCUGAAGCCGGUGGCCCAACCCUUGUGGAGGGAGCCGUCGAAGGUGAUCC